AGAGUUUGAUCCUGGCUCAGAUUGAACGCUGGCGGCAUGCCUUACACAUGCAAGUCGAACGGCAGCAUAGGAGCUUGCUCCUGAUGGUGAGUGGCGAACGGGUGAGUAAUAUAUCGGAACGUGCCCUAGAGUGGGGGAUAACUAGUCGAAAGACUAGCUAAUACCGCAUACGAUCUACGGAUGAAAGUGGGGGAUCGCAAGACCUCAUGCUCCUGGAGCGGCCGAUAUCUGAUUAGCUAGUUGGUGGGGUAAAAGCCUACCAAGGCAACGAUCAGUAGCUGGUCUGAGAGGACGACCAGCCACACUGGGACUGAGACACGGCCCAGACUCCUACGGGAGGCAGCAGUGGGGAAUUUUGGACAAUGGGGGCAACCCUGAUCCAGCAAUGCCGCGUGAGUGAAGAAGGCCUUCGGGUUGUAAAGCUCUUUUGUCAGGGAAGAAACGGUAGUAGCGAAUAACUACUACUAAUGACGGUACCUGAAGAAUAAGCACCGGCUAACUACGUGCCAGCAGCCGCGGUAAU
RNAcentral lists this ribosomal RNA (523 nucleotides) under uncultured bacterium. RNAcentral describes it as "bacterial SSU rRNA". It matches the Rfam family "Bacterial small subunit ribosomal RNA", at positions 8 to 524 of the family's 1533-position model. The record is from RNAcentral.